Molecule: ribosomal RNA, 497 nt
Filed under: uncultured bacterium
Lineage: Bacteria
Description: partial 16S ribosomal RNA
Rfam family: Bacterial small subunit ribosomal RNA
Source: RNAcentral
GAUGAACGCUGGCGGCGUGCCUAAUACAUGCAAGUCGAGCGAACAGACGAGGAGCUUGCUCCUCUGACGUUAGCGGCGGACGGGUGAGUAACACGUGGAUAACCUACCUAUAAGACUGGGAUAACUUCGGGAAACCGGAGCUAAUACCGGAGAAUAUAUUGAACCGCAUGGUUCAAUAGUGAAAGACGGUUUUGCUGUCACUUAUAGAUGGAUCCGCGCCGCAUUAGCUAGUUGGUAAGGUAACGGCUUACCAAGGCAACGAUGCGUAGCCGACCUGAGAGGCUGGUCGGCGACACUGGAACUGAGACACGGUCCAGACUCCUAAGGGAGGCAGCAGUAGGGAAUCUUCCGCAAUGGGCGAAAGUUUGACGGAGCAACGCCGCGUGAGUGAUGAAGGUCUUCCGAUCGUAAAACUCUGUUAUUAGGGAAGAACCAAUGUGUAAGUAAAUAUGCACGUCUUGACGGUACCUAAUCAGAAAGCCACGGCUAACUACGUG